AACGAACGCUGGCGGCAGGCCUAACACAUGCAAGUCGAACGCUCCGCAAAGGGGACGUGGGCGCACGGGUGAGUAACACGUGGGAACCUACCUUCUGGUACGGAACAACCAAGGGAAACUUUGGCUAAGACCGUAUACGACCUCCGGGUGAAAGAUUGAUCGCCGGAAGAGGGGCCCGCGUCCGAUUAGGUAGUUGGUGAGGUAACGGCUCACCAAGCCUUCGAUCGGUAGCUGGUCUGAGAGGAUGACCAGCCACACUGGGACUGAGACACGGCCCAGACUCCUACGGAGGCAGCAGUGGGAAUAUUGGACAAUGGGCGCAAGCCUGAUCCAGCCAUGCCGCGUGAGUGAUGAAGGCCUGGUUGUAAG
This 369-nucleotide ribosomal RNA is filed under the name uncultured bacterium. RNAcentral describes it as "bacterial SSU rRNA". It matches the Rfam family "Bacterial small subunit ribosomal RNA", at positions 29 to 429 of the family's 1533-position model. The record is from RNAcentral.